This 253-nucleotide ribosomal RNA is filed under the name uncultured bacterium. Its description in RNAcentral is "partial 16S ribosomal RNA". It matches the Rfam family "Bacterial small subunit ribosomal RNA", at positions 524 to 776 of the family's 1533-position model. The record is from RNAcentral.
UACGUAGGGUGCGAGCGUUAAUCGGAAUUACUGGGCGUAAAGCGUGCGUAGGCGGUUCUCCAAGUCCGUUGUGAAAGCCCCGGGCUCAACCUGGGAAUGGCGGUGGAAACCGUAAGGCUAGAGUCCGGAAGAGGAGAGUGGAAUUCCCGGUGUAGCGGUGAAAUGCGCAGAUAUCGGGAAGAACACCCGUGGCGAAGGCGGCUCUCUGGGACGGUACUGACGCUGAGACGCGAAAGCGUGGGGAGCAAACAGG